This 381-nucleotide ribosomal RNA is filed under the name uncultured bacterium. RNAcentral's name for it is "bacterial SSU rRNA". It matches the Rfam family "Bacterial small subunit ribosomal RNA", at positions 28 to 412 of the family's 1533-position model. The record is from RNAcentral.
GACGAACGCUAGCUACAGGCUUAACACAUGCAAGUCCGAGGGGUCUGCUUCGGCAGACGACCGGCGCACGGGUGAGUAACGCGUAUCCAACCUGCCCUUCUCAUUGGGAUAGCCUUUCGAAAGAGAGAUUAAUACCGAAUAACAUAGUUUGAUUGCCUGAUUAUACUAUGAAAGCUCCGGCGGAGGAAGGAUGGGGAUGCGUUCCAUUAGGUAGUAGGCGGGGUAACGGCCCACCUAGCCUACGAUGGAUAGGGGUUCUGAGAGGAAGGUCCCCCCANACUGGAACUGAGACACGGUCCAGACUCCUACGGGAGGCAGCAGUGAGGAAUAUUGGGUCAAUGGUCGGAAGACUGAACCAGCCCAAGUAGCGUGAAGGAUGAA